GGAGGAAUACCCAAGUCCGGCUGAAGGGAUCGGUCUUGAAAACCGACAGGGGCUUAACGGCCGCGGGGGUUCGAAUCCCUCUUCCUCCG
Molecule: transfer RNA, 89 nt
Filed under: Staphylococcus aureus
Lineage: Bacteria; Bacillati; Bacillota; Bacilli; Caryophanales; Staphylococcaceae
Description: tRNA-Ser
Rfam family: tRNA
About the family: Transfer RNA (tRNA) molecules are approximately 80 nucleotides in length.
Source: RNAcentral